UCUUAAAAACGAAGUGAAACGUCUCGCGGUCACUAAAGCCGCGUAGAAAGCCAAAGCAAUGGAUUUGGUAUUGAGCAAUGGUGGUGAAGCUCGGUUUAGCCAAUUUCCAAGAAAAAAGUUCAUGUUCGGUAGAAACUUGAAAGAAAUAAUAUGAAAGAUUUGUAUCGGCGUGAACAUUAAUACUUCGAAAUUACAUUCUAUAAUCCUCAAAGACAAAGAUCGAGAAGCCGAAGUCUUGAGUAUGAUAUCUGCACAAGGACAUCGUAUAGACACCAUCUUUAACGUGUCUAAGAACGGUCGAAUGUGGCUACGCGUUGACAGUGACGUUCAUGCCCAGUGAUAGACAUUUGAUAGUGGGUUUAAAGAAUGGAAAAAUGUUGGUCAUCGACAUCGCCUUGGGUGACGUUUUGGAAAAAAUUCAAGCACAUACGAAAGAAUUGUGGAGCGUCAUAUUAACCUAGAUAUGGGAUUUUGACGGAACUAUUCUGCUUUUGCCGUAUUCAGCAGUUUGUGAGAUCUUGCAGGCACUUCCAAAAUUAUUGUGGGGCGAAUCAUAAAUAAAAUUGUGUGUGAAACUAGCACUCAGGCUCGUUCACGUUUGUCACGGUACCAUCAUCACGAAUGCUCUGCUUUUACCAGUCUUGGAAGAAGUCAGAAAUAUGGGAAAUUGAAGCAGAGAAAAAAUGGUUAACGACGCACCCGAAUACGAGCGGCAAAAGGGGUCAACAACGGCGAGCAGGCCGUUGGUGAGGCCGGACUAUGAGGCAAUGCUCAACCGCCCUCGCCCCAGGAACAUGAGUUAGCCGGGCAGAUCGGCGAAGACGAUGCUCAGCCGGGACAACAAGAGCCUCAACAGCAACAAGCUGUUAAGAAAAGAAAUCAUCGGGGCGUUCGAGCAGGGUAGCGGGUCCGUGAGGCCAAGAAAAUUGAUUUUAUGGCCCGCUUAACUGAGAAAAUGGGUCAAAUUGUCGCCGAAAGGCACCACGGCCGCAAUUGGCGAGGUGGACGUGGUGAUCAACGUCGUGAACGAGGAUCUUCAUAAAUUUUCUAAAAAAUGAAUCAAAACAUAAUAUACUUUGUCUC
This is a long non-coding RNA of Venturia canescens, 1083 nucleotides long. RefSeq lists it as uncharacterized. The transcript has 6 exons. The record is from RefSeq and is a predicted model, not a curated record. Lineage: Eukaryota; Metazoa; Arthropoda; Insecta; Hymenoptera; Ichneumonidae.